CCAGUGAGAGUACCUUACUAUAUCAUGUCCAAUAAUAAUUACUAUAGUAUUUGAUGCUGCCUUCUUUUUUGACAUGCUGAGUGCCCCCCUUCCUAUGGCAUGAUCAUAAUUUGUCGAUGCAUUAGGAGUCGAGUUGGGUGGGCUUCCAAGGAGAGGAGUAUCCCAUGCAUUAGGAGCCGAGCUGGCUGUGCUUCCAUUGAGAGGAGCACUCCUGAAGAAGAUGAUUUUGUCCUGUGUCAUGCUUCCAGGAAAAGUUCAAGCUCAUACGAGCCAACGACGAUGCUACUGUGUUGGACGCUCUCUCACUCAGCACCCCCAAGAUCAGACUGCUUCGCAGCUUGACAGUCAAAAAGAUGAACUCUGUUCAGGUACAUAUAUUCGGUAGUAACAUAUGGAGUCAUCAUAUAUCUUGUGGCAUGAUUGCCCAGUGGGCAAGACUGACCGGCAAAAUCUACUAAAGCAGAAAGGGUGUGUUGUUUGGAUUACAGGCCUUAGUGGUACAGGUAAUUCAAGAUUACCUAGGUUGUGAGGUGUGCUUCAUGAAAUGCGAGUGCAUUUUUUGAGUUAUUCAAGUAUGGGUCAUUCAACUA
Molecule: long non-coding RNA, 590 nt
Organism: Hordeum vulgare subsp. vulgare (domesticated barley)
Lineage: Eukaryota; Viridiplantae; Streptophyta; Magnoliopsida; Poales; Poaceae
Exons: 2
Source: RefSeq, a predicted model, not a curated record